RNAcentral lists this long non-coding RNA (209 nucleotides) under Elaeis guineensis (African oil palm). Its description in RNAcentral is "long non-coding RNA (EGUI_LNC068692)". The record is from RNAcentral. Lineage: Eukaryota; Viridiplantae; Streptophyta; Magnoliopsida; Arecales; Arecaceae.
AUCCUGUAGAUGAUCGCAGCAACGUCUGAGAUUCUAAAAUAGCCACACAGUCAUCUAGCCUCUACCAAUAUCCACUCAAGCAGGAUCUAGAUUAUCUUCUCUUCACAAAUCUUUGCUUCAAAAAUCAAAUCUAGAUCUGAUCUGGAAGAUCUUCAAAAGAUCUUCUGAAGCUAGAGCAGCAACUUCUCGAUAAAUCCCUACAGCCUUCU